GCCUGGGUGGCUCAGUCGGUUAAGCGUCUGACUUUGGCUCAGGUCAUGCUGUCACAGUCUGUGAGUUCGAGCCCCACGUCAGGCU
Molecule: transfer RNA, 85 nt
Filed under: Felis catus (domestic cat)
Lineage: Eukaryota; Metazoa; Chordata; Mammalia; Carnivora; Felidae
Rfam family: tRNA
About the family: Transfer RNA (tRNA) molecules are approximately 80 nucleotides in length. Their secondary structure includes four short double-helical elements and three loops (D, anti-codon, and T loops).
Source: Rfam by way of RNAcentral